GAGGUCGAGGGGAAGGAGGCCCAACACUUUCCUCCUCGGAAGCCAGCAGCCCAGUAGAGGCUUGAGGAGCGGUUGGUGAGAACUGUCCCCAGUCAUCUUAGCCCCACCUCCUCCUUCUGGGAGGCAGGGUUUGAGGAGGGUGGACGGUUCCUGAAUCCCUUCCAAGCUUGACACUGUGCGCUCACAGAUGUACAGGGAACAGCGGUGACCACGGGAUGAGGAGGAGAAUCCAUCUGCUCAGAGGCGUGAGACCUCAGAAUUUCAAAUGUCCAGUGGAUCUGUGAGUUCAGCUUUCUGGGUGUUGAGUCGCAAGAUCUACUGUUGCAUUUCCGAAGACUCUGGUGUUGGCAUUCUUUUGUGGCAGUGAUCGUGAAGAUUGGGCUUUCUUUUUAAUUCCUUUGACCAUCAGGGCCCUAGGAAGCAAGCGACGACGAGUCACCGGAUGUAUUUGCCACACUGACCCACUUAGAAGAGGCACCCCCAUCUUAUAGACGAGAACACUGGCUCAGAGAGGUUGAACGGCUCCCUUUGCCCUCAUUCUGGUAAGUGAUAAACUAGGAAUUGAAACCGCUAUGGAGUUCACCUCUGUUGGAAAUGCUCCAGGACAUCUUUGGAUCUGUGGGAAACCCUGCUUGUGCCCUGAAGUUAACGAAAGCUAAAAUUCUCUCGUCAUGGGUCUGGAGUGAUGGCUCGGCGGUUCAGAGUACUUGCUGCUCUUGAGGAGAGCUUGGGUUUGGUUCCCAGCACCUAUGACUCUAGUUCCAGGGCAUCUAAAGCCUUCUUCUGACUUCCGUGGGCACACGGUACACAUUCAUUCAUUCUCAUCACAGGGUUUAAUGUCCAAUGACAUGACCACAGGUAACACCCGUGGGAAAAUCUCAGGAAAUUUUCACAGGAAAGUGUAAUUCAUAACAUUUACAUGGUCCAGUUAAUGUUUACUCAAAUUUCAGUUUUCUGAGUACUAAUAAAAAUUGCCUCCAAA
This is a non-coding RNA of Myodes glareolus (Bank vole), 982 nucleotides long. Lineage: Eukaryota; Metazoa; Chordata; Mammalia; Rodentia; Cricetidae. The record is from RefSeq and is a predicted model, not a curated record.